GUGGAUAUAGCUCAACUGGUCAGAGCGCCGGUCUGUGGAACCGGAGGUUGCGGGUUCGAUCCCCGUUAUCCACCCCA
RNAcentral lists this transfer RNA (77 nucleotides) under Candidatus Hydrogenedentota bacterium. Its description in RNAcentral is "tRNA-His". It matches the Rfam family "tRNA". Rfam says of the family: Transfer RNA (tRNA) molecules are approximately 80 nucleotides in length. Their secondary structure includes four short double-helical elements and three loops (D, anti-codon, and T loops). Further hydrogen bonds mediate the characteristic L-shaped molecular structure. tRNAs have two regions of fundamental functional importance: the anti-codon, which is responsible for specific mRNA codon recognition, and the 3' end, to which the tRNAs corresponding amino acid is attached (by aminoacyl-tRNA synthetases). tRNAs cope with the degeneracy of the genetic code in two manners: having more than one tRNA (with a specific anti-codon) for a particular amino acid; and 'wobble' base-pairing, i.e. permitting non-standard base-pairing at the 3rd anti-codon position. Lineage: Bacteria; Pseudomonadati; Candidatus Hydrogenedentota. The record is from RNAcentral.